UACCUGCAGCUCAAGUGCUGGCCGCUAUUAUUGGGCCUAAAACGUCCGUAGCCGGUUUUAUAAGUGCCUGGGUAAAUUGUACGGCUUAACCGUAUGAAUUCCGGAGAGACUGUUUAACUUGAGACCGGGAGAGGCUAGAGGGACUCCUGGGGUAGAGGUGAAAUUCUGUAAUCCUAGGAGGACCACCAGUGACGAGAGGCGCCUAGCUAGAACGGUUCUGACGGUGAGGGACGAAGCCCUGGGGAGCAAACGGGAUUAGAUACCCCGGUAGUCCAGCGCGUAAACGCUGCUCGCUUGAUGUUAGUCGGGCUCCGAGACCCAACUAGUGUCGGAGAGAAGCUGUUAAUCGAGCUGCCUGGGAAGUACGGUCGCAAGACUGAAACUUAAAGGAAUUGGGGGGGGAGCACCGCAACGGGUGGGGCGUGCGGUUUAAUUGGAUUCAACGCCGGACAACUCACCGGGGGCGACGGUUAUAUGAAGGCCGGUCUGAUGACCUUGCCUGACUUUCCGAGAGGUGGUGCAUGGCCGUCGUCAGUUCGUACCGUGAGGCGUUCUCUUAAGUCAGCACACCGAACGAGACCCUCAUCAUUAGUCGCUACUAGUAAGUUCGCAUUCUAGGCACACUAGAGAAUCCCCUGUCGAUAACUCAGAGGAAGCCGAGGGCACCGUUAGGUCAGUAUGCCCUGAAUCCCCCGGGCUCCCCCCGCCCUCCAAAGGAUAGGACAAUGGGUUUCGACCCCGAAAGGGGAAGGCAAUCCCGAAACCUAGUCCUAGUUCGGAUUGAGGGUUGUAACUCACCCUCAUGAAGUUGGAAUCCGUAGUAAUCGCGGAUCAACAUUCCGCGGUGAAUACGCCCCUGCUCCU
Molecule: ribosomal RNA, 864 nt
Filed under: uncultured archaeon
Lineage: Archaea
Description: SSU rRNA
Rfam family: Archaeal small subunit ribosomal RNA
Source: RNAcentral